GAUGAACGCUGGCGGCGUGCCUAAUACAUGCAAGUCGAGCGAACAGACGAGGAGCUUGCUCCUCUGACGUUAGCGGCGGACGGGUGAGUAACACGUGGAUAACCUACCUAUAAGACUGGGAUAACUUCGGGAAACCGGAGCUAAUACCGGAUAAUAUAUUGAACCGCAUGGUUCAAUAGUGAAAGACGGUUUUGCUGUCACUUAUAGAUGGAUCCGCGCCGCAUUAGCUAGUUGGUAAGGUAACGGCUUACCAAGGCAACGAUGCGAAGCCGACCUGAGAGGGGUAGCAGCCCAAAGGGAAACAGAACCACGAACGAAACACUGCGGGGGGGAAGAAGUAGGAAUUCUUACGAAAGGGGGAAAAGCCGGAAGAGAAAACGAGGGGGGAGUAAGAAAGGUCUUGGCAUCAAAAACCUUUUUUUUGGGGGAAAAAAAAAUGUGAAAGAAAAAAUGCAGGUCUGGAGGGAACAAAAGAAGAAAGCCCCGCCUAACGACG
This 496-nucleotide ribosomal RNA is filed under the name uncultured bacterium. RNAcentral's name for it is "partial 16S ribosomal RNA". It matches the Rfam family "Bacterial small subunit ribosomal RNA", at positions 28 to 505 of the family's 1533-position model. The record is from RNAcentral.